CCUUGGGUUUGAUGGUUGAAAUGAUGUGUUUUAGAUGUUUUUGUUUUUAUCAUCAAAGUUUUAUUCUUGCUUAAUUAUUCACUUUAUCUUUAUAUUAUAUACUAGUUUUGAAUACUAAAUGUUUCGUUGAUGUAGUAAUUUAAUUUAAUAAAAUCAAGUUAAUUUGGAAUUAGUAAUUGAUUAAGUUUUGACUAAUUUUGUGCCAGCAGUCGCGGUUAUACAAUUUAUGCAAGUGAAUAUUUUUGACUUUACAGUUAAUUAUUCUUUAUAAGUGUAUAAUUAUGUAUUUUGUAGGUGAAAUUUUUUAUUUAUUUAAUAUUCUUAUUUUUGAUUCUGUGAAAUUUAAAUUAUAAACUAGGAUUAGAUACCCUAUUAUUUUAAUUGUAAAAGUUUGUUAGGGUAUUAAUAGUUAAGUUCUUAAAACCUAAAGAAUUUGGCGGCAUUUUAUUCCAUUCAGAGGAACCUACCCCAUGAUUGAUAGUACACGAUUAGUAUAACUUGAUUUAUUUGUUUAUAUCUCCGCUAUCAGAGGAUCUUUUUAGGGUUAUAAAAUUUUCAUAAUUCUUAAUUGAGUAAAAUUUCAGGUCAAGGUGCAGCAUUAUAAUUAAGUGGAGGCGGGUUACAUUAGGUUUUACUUUGUCGGUUUUAUUUAUUUAAAUUUAUAACUAAGUUGGAUUUGAUAGUAAUUUGUUUAACAUUAUUCAUUUGAUAUUGGCUCUGAGGUGUGUACACAUCGCCCGUCACUCUCAUUAUUUAUGUUUUUAUAAUUGGUUUAUUUUAGUUGAGAUAAGUCGUAACAUAGUAGGCGUACUGGAAAGUGUGUCUAGAAAGAAA
RNAcentral lists this non-coding RNA (834 nucleotides) under Mekongiella xizangensis. Lineage: Eukaryota; Metazoa; Arthropoda; Insecta; Orthoptera; Pyrgomorphidae. The record is from RNAcentral.